UUCCCACAUCGGGAAUCGAACCCAGAUUUCUGGGUGAAAGCCACUUACCCUAGCCACUAAACCAUGUGGGA
Molecule: non-coding RNA, 71 nt
Organism: Cordylochernes scorpioides
Lineage: Eukaryota; Metazoa; Arthropoda; Arachnida; Pseudoscorpiones; Chernetidae
Source: the annotation of a GenBank genome assembly